AGGACGCGGAUCCCAGGAAAGGUGCGGCGGGCCCCGCCCAGAGCCCGAGCCCAGAGGGCAGGUCCGCAGUCGGCCGAGCCAGGGCCAGGGCCGGGCGGUCACCUCGCCGGUCCUGGGCGAGCCCGUGGGGUAGCCGAUGAGCUGCUGGUGCGCGCAGCCGGGGACCGCGCCUGCGGGUGAAGCCGGCUCGGCACCUGCGCUCGGGUGCGGGGAGGCGGCGGCGGCCCCGACGGACGCGGCUGCGGGUAGGAGACAGGCGAGAUCCCAGGACGAGACCCGGACCCGACCUUAGCGCUUCUGCGCGGCGCCGAGAGGGGGGCUCGGGACCGUCGCCAGGGCCACCCCCUCCCGGCCGGCGCCCCCUGCACACCCGAGGGACUGGUUUCCAGGUGCUCGCCGCUAUCCGUCCGACAGCCACCAUGCCUCUGCCCCCCGGGUCCCCGCGCCUGGACCGCCCCUGACGCCCGCGAGUGAUGGCUGCGCCCCAGAACUGUGACAGGGGCCGAGUGGCCUCCACCCUCCGCUACUGCGUGUCGGUCAGCGGCACAGUGUUUCUGAUCGCCGGGACGCUCUGCUUCGCGUGGUGGAGUGAAGGGGAUAAGGGUGUUCAACCCAGCCAGCCGGCCCCACCCGCUGGGUACCCUGCGCCUGAGGCCCCCGGGUCCCUGCUCAGGUCCAUCAGCUUCAUCUGCUUUGGGGCAGGCGGCUUGCUGCUGCUCCUUGGCCUGCUGUGGUCCAUCAAGGCCAGUGCCUGGGGGUCACCCAGAAGUGACCCAUAUCACCUCUCCAGAGACCUGUACUACCUCACUGUGGAGCCGUCGGAGAAGGAGAGCUGCAGGACCCCAGAGCUGGUUGCCAUCCCCACGUAUGAGGAGGCCGUGCACUGCCCACUGGUUGAGGGCCCCCUGGCACCACCUGCGUACCCCACGGAGGAAGACCUGCCGUGCAGCGCCUCCGGGGCUGCCCUGCUUGGGGGCCAGCCCCCCUCGCCUCCGCCCAGCUACGAGAGCGUCAUCCCUGCUGCUGCUGUCAUUCCUGGAGAGACAAUACCAGCUGGAUCAGACCACAGUGAGAGGAAGGGAAAGGCCCCUCGCAGGCCCUGAGUCCAGAGACGAUGCAUGAGCUGCUUCUAGUGUCUGGCACAGUGCCUGGCUCACAGCAGGCGCUCCACGGACGCUUGCUUCUCAGUGCUGCUUUAUUCAUCUGUUGCCGUGUAACAAGAGGCUUAAACCUUGUCCCUGUAGGUUUCUGCCAGAGCCUGGCAGUCGCCCUCACUGCCGCCAUCUCUUCUUGCUUCUUCUGACCUGACCUCAAAACCAGAGGAUCGUUGUAAAAUCAAAGUCUGAUCUGCCAGUCCGCUGCACACCCCGGUUAGAGGCACUCUGUUGACUCCUGAGAAAGACGUUGGAGACCUUAGCGUGACCUCAGGAGGUUCCAGCCUGUGCUUCCUCUCUAGCAUCCCUCUCCCCCGGAACUGACGCCCAUCCCUCCAUUCCCAAAUACGAAUCCAGAGCCUACCCUGUCCCAGCCCCCGAGGAUACUACAGUGAACAAAGUCCCCAUCUGGACACUCGAGUCCUAGGUGAGGGGAGACAGACAAGAGACAAAUAAGUGAUGUAUAUAGAAUGAAUGAAGGCAGUGAGUUCUGUAGAGAACAGGGCAGCUGGGAGGACAGGGAGUACCUGGGGAAGCUGGUGCUAUCACCCCAGGGAAGACCUCACUGGAAAGCUGACAUUUGGAUAAAGACUUGAAGGAGGUGAGGGAGGGAGCCGUCACAGAUCUGGAGGAAGAGCAUUGCAGGCAGCAGGAACAGCAAGGCCGUUUACCCUUCCUAGGGUGCCUGUGCGUCCCACGGAGAGCACGGAGCCAGAGUGGCUGGAGGGAGGGAGGGAGGAGGCAUGGCAGAAGAUGGGCUGGGCGACAUGGGCCAAUUGUCUAAGCUCUUCCAGGCCAUUUGAGGUCUUUGGCUUUACACUGGUAAGACAGAAAGUCAUUCCAGGGUUCUGAGCAGGAGUGACAAGGUCUGACCUGGCAUUCGGAUUGGAACGAGAUUUCAGGGGACACGGGUAAGAGCAGAGAACACUUAGGGGGACAGAGAUGCGGGGCUCAGGCCAGGCGAUGAGCAGUAGUGGGGGGAGAGAAGUGAUUGGAUUCUUAUACGUUGGAGGUAGAGCCAACAGGAUGUAGGUGUGAGAGGGGAGGGGAGGCUGUAGCCAGGAUAUGUAGGCACUGGCCCGGAGAACAGGAGAAGGAUGGAGUUGACCUGGGAGGAGUAGGUCUGGGGAGGGAGAGGAGGAGCCUGCAGUGUAGGGCAAGUGUGUGCAUAGCAUUUAGAGUUGUAUCUCCAGCCCUGUCAGUGCUUACUUGCCCUGGGCUUUUGCACAUGCUGCUCUCUGUCUGAACUGCUUUUAUUGCCCUGACAGAACUGCAGCUGACUCCUCAAGGAUCCCUUGUGUGACUCCCCCUUCAUUCCUCACCUCAACCCCCAGUCUCUCUCUCUCUCUCUCUCUCUCUCUCUCUCUCUCUCGUGCACAUGUUGGACCUCAAGCGUAUCUCAGAGCCCUUACCAUAUUUUAUCCCAGAAGGAAGGACAAGUGCCAUCACUCGCUGAAACCCCGCGUGUGUCAGAGUGCCUCAUACCUCUGAGUGUCCUGCACAGAGCAGGUGCUCAACAAGAGACUGAGGGGGCUGGUUUGAAUCCUGGCUC
This is an RNA transcript of Myotis lucifugus (little brown bat), 2706 nucleotides long. It is a transcript of the gene named transmembrane protein 61, with no coding region annotated. The record is from RefSeq and is a predicted model, not a curated record. Lineage: Eukaryota; Metazoa; Chordata; Mammalia; Chiroptera; Vespertilionidae. The transcript has 4 exons.